UACGGAGGGUGCAAGCGUUGCUCGGAAUCACUGGGCGUAAAGCGCGUGUAGGCGGUCUCGUGUGUCUGGCGUGAAAGCCCCAGGCUCACCCUGGGAAGGGCGUCGGAAACUGCGAGACUAGAGUCCCGGAGAGGAAGGUGGAAUUCCAGGUGUAGCGGUGAAAUGCGUAGAUAUCUGGAAGAACACCGGUGGCGAAAGCGGCCUUCUGGACGGUGACUGACGCUGAGACGCGAAAGCGUGGGGAGCAAACAGG
RNAcentral lists this ribosomal RNA (253 nucleotides) under uncultured bacterium. Its description in RNAcentral is "partial 16S ribosomal RNA". It matches the Rfam family "Bacterial small subunit ribosomal RNA", at positions 524 to 776 of the family's 1533-position model. The record is from RNAcentral.